UACGGAGGGAGCUAGCGUUGUUCGGAAUUACUGGGCGUAAAGCGUACGUAGGCGGCUUUGUAAGUCAGAGGUGAAAGCCUGGAGCUCAACCCCGGAACUGCCUUUGAGACUGCAUCGCUCGAAUCCGGGAGAGGUGAGUGGAAUUCCGAGUGUAGAGGUGAAAUUCGUAGAGAUUCGGAAGAACACCAGUGGCGAAGGCGGCCCACUGGACCGGUAUUGACGCUGAGGUGCGAAAGCGUGGGGAGCAAACAGG
This 253-nucleotide ribosomal RNA is filed under the name uncultured bacterium. RNAcentral's name for it is "partial 16S ribosomal RNA". It matches the Rfam family "Bacterial small subunit ribosomal RNA", at positions 524 to 776 of the family's 1533-position model. The record is from RNAcentral.